RNAcentral lists this transfer RNA (75 nucleotides) under Candidatus Aminicenantota bacterium. RNAcentral's name for it is "Candidatus Aminicenantes bacterium tRNA-Val". It matches the Rfam family "tRNA". Rfam says of the family: Transfer RNA (tRNA) molecules are approximately 80 nucleotides in length. Their secondary structure includes four short double-helical elements and three loops (D, anti-codon, and T loops). RNAcentral also lists the same sequence under 1 other name. Lineage: Bacteria; Candidatus Aminicenantota. The record is from RNAcentral.
GGGCGGUUAGCUCAGCGGAAGAGUACCGGCCUUACAAGCCGAGGGUCGCUGGUUCGAAUCCAGUACCGCCCACCA